This 1987-nucleotide long non-coding RNA is filed under the name Coffea arabica (coffee). Its description in RNAcentral is "long non-coding RNA (CARA_LNC001079)". Lineage: Eukaryota; Viridiplantae; Streptophyta; Magnoliopsida; Gentianales; Rubiaceae. The record is from RNAcentral.
UCUUCCAUAUUCACCAACUUGACUCUGAUCAAUAUUAGCUCUUCUUCAUAAGUUCUGUUUUUGCAUCAAGGUUCUCUGAUUUGAUUCAUAUACUAAGGUAAGCUCAAAGAAAAACACACACACACACACAAACAUAAUGAGAAUAGAAAAGGGAAAUGUUUCUCGCAACUUAUCCACAAACGUGAUAACAAUUUACCUGCAUGUUUAAUAGAAUUUGCUAACAUUUUGUUUGCUUCUUUGCUAAGUUGGUUCCUAGUUCUUGAGCGACUUUUGUGCCAUUUGAAUUUCUGGCCAAUUAGUUUGGAAACAUCUCGUAUUCAGUCUUUUUCUUCCUUAUAAGUGUGAUGGUAGGUAUGUAAGGUUUACACAUCCAUAAAAAUUUGAUUUCUAGUUUCGGGUUUAUGUUUAUUAUUGCCUUUCUGCAUUAUGGCUUUUCCGGUUAUGGUCUUCUAUCCUUGAACUUUUCUGUAAAUCAGGGAGAAACAGAUCAUGAUUACAAGUGUACUAGACAGCUAGAAAUGCUACAUCCUUGUCUCCUCUAUCUAUCCAUCCAAAUUACACAGAGACACAUAUAUGCGAUAUGUAACAUGAAAUUUUUUCACCUUUGCAUUUACUAGGUUAUUUUUCCUUUUUUUUCUUUUUUAAACAUCAUAUCCUUGGUUGGUUAGAUUUCUUUUCAAGAUCAUUCUUGGAGUAGUUAUCUUUUGAGAUCCAAAAUUUUCUUCUAAGCUUGUAUAUCUGGUUCUAAAGGUUAUUGAUUCCUAUCUUGUGUUUGCCUCAUAUGUGGGUGAUUUACUGACUUCCACCUGUUUUUUUUGCAUCAUUUCUAACUUGAUCAAUUUCUGUCAUAAAUGAAGAAUCUCAAGAAUUUCCACAUGUCGUCACGGCCACCCCACCUCCACCAGGACCCAAAAACCACUUGACGACUUCAAUCUGCCCUCUAAACGCCAAAGGUUUGAUAACAAGCAGAGCACUAAUGACCUUAACCAAGGGGACAACUUGCCACAAUCAUCAUUGUCAUCAAAGAAGCAACCUCUCUGUGGCAACGCUACUGCUUCAGGACAAUCAACUCUAAAGAAAUCUUAUAUCCUUGAUUGUUGCAUGGAAGAUUGCCAGAACCCCCUACAGGAAAAAGUUCAAGUGAAUUCAUCUCCUAAGCCUGAUCUGAACACCACCGACUCUAGCUCAAAUGUGUAACUUGGACAUUAAUCUUUUUCUUCAGCAACUUUGUCUUCAGUGGUUAUUUAGCUGCUAUAAAGUUUUGUGAAAUAAUGUAGUGUGGUCUUCACACCACAUGAACUAGUUUUAUGGGGAACAAGGACCUGUACUUUUAAGAAUAAAACUUUUUUGUCGAUGUCCAAUAGUUUAAGAAUAUUAACAAGCCUCAACUUUCAGAAUUUCCUACACUAGCCAUCCUUCUACAAAAUGUUUCUAAGCAGACAGACAAAAUGCAAUUUCUUUUCCUUUUUCUAAGUUUGGAUGGUUGACACUGAGUGGUCCAAUCCAUAAGUAUUAAAUUUCAGAAUUCAAAAGUUUUGUAUUCUGAACUAUCCCAUGCCUGAUUUAUUAAUAUAAUGUUUCAGUAUUGCAAUAUCCAGCGUUCAUGUACUUAAACCUCAAAAUCCAACCAAGAUUCAGGAUUAUUCACAUGUAAGCGUGUACAAGUAACAUAUUCUGACAAAUUUGACCGGGUCAAUGCAAAUUCAUUACUUACCUUAAACUUGUAAAUUCAUGUAUGUUCAGCUGACACGUUCUUUUGCCUUAUGGAUGAGCAUAAUUCCUAAGAUAAUGAGACAUUCCUAGAGAGACCUGUUUGUUAUGAAAUAAUAUUUUAAAGGCAGGUGCUGUUGGAAUUUUACAAUGUAGCAAGUCUUUCUGAACAUUGUUCUUUGCUGAAGCUUUGAAAUGGAAUCUCUUUAGCAACAAAGCUUUAUUAGAGCAAGGAAAGAGAUUAAAUCACCACAAGGCCCAUAAAAUCAAUGUCAAC